This is a long non-coding RNA of Globicephala melas (long-finned pilot whale), 891 nucleotides long. RefSeq lists it as uncharacterized. The record is from RefSeq and is a predicted model, not a curated record. Lineage: Eukaryota; Metazoa; Chordata; Mammalia; Artiodactyla; Delphinidae.
UCAAUAUUUGAGAUCUUGUUUUGUUAUCUCUUCAUUUUCAAAUAUACCAGGAACACUGAAAAAGAAAAAUCAGGGCUUCUCUUUACCCCUGCUCAGAGCAGAGAUGAAGCCUCAUCUCAGCACAAGGAGCUGGGGACAUGGGGGACACCCUGACUUAAAAACAGUUAUUGCAGUCCUACUUCUAGAGCAUUUGGAGGAGCUAGCUAGUGGGCUUCGAGGAGGGGCAGGCUCACAGCUGCGGGGGCGGGUAGGGGAGGAGUCUUCACAGAGGAGGUAACUUCGGAGCUCGCUUGCAAAGACUGUAGGAGUCUCGGAGGUGGAGAACGAGGCGAGGGAAAGCAUUCCAGGCUUCGAGAACAGCAUGUGCAAAGUCACGGAGGCGUGAAAGGACAGAGCGUGUUCCAGAAUGUGCUGUGGGAGUUCUGAGGAACCAUCUCUUGUGGCCAGGGUUAUCAGAGAAGACUUCGUAGAAGACGUGUAUCUGAGUUCCAAGACCAGGGACGGAACCUGCGCCCCCUGCAUUGGAAGCGUGGAGUCUUAACCACUGGACUGCCAGGGAAGUCCCGGUAGGGAGUGUUUUGAGUUGGGAGACCAGUAGAAGGCCUUGGCAUCAGUUGGAGAAAAAAGAAGACCUGAGAGAAAAUGUUGAUGGUGAUGGCAAUGGAGAGAAGAAUUGGGUAAGGAAGAGACUAUAAAAUGAUAAAAUGAAGAGGCCAAGGGAAAAGGCUCAAAGAUGGUUCUAAGUAAUGAACUAGUUGACAAAUAGAAAAGACCGAAGAGGGGAUUUAAGAAAGAGAAGACGUGAAUUCAGUUUGUGAUUAAUCGUAUUGAGAGGGCCAGUGGGGUACUUGGAGUAGAUAUCCAGAUAGGCACUUGGUGACUGAAGUCUCA